AAACCUUCUCUGGAUGGCACAUGGGCCUCUUGACAAUUUCUAUUUGCAAAUGAGCCAAAGAAGCUGGGGUCAGAAACAGAUCCAACUGCUUGCUCAGUGACUGUGUCGGGAUUUCUUCAGCACGCAUACUGUGGUGAUGAGAUUCAUACUCCAGACCUAGACACUGGCACGCUUGUGACCUAUGGAUCCAGUUUUUAAGGUGAAAAUUUAGGACUGGCCUCAUCUAUGAGUUCCAGAACUAUGCUGACUUUUCAUUUGAUCUGAACUUCUCUUGUGACACAUCACUUCCAAAUUAACCUUUGGGAGCUGUGUCUUCUCCAGCUACCCCAGCUUGGAGGGUGGCAUUGUAAAGCAGCUGCUUAGGACGCCCACAUCGCAUAUCCGAGGGCCAGUUUGUGUCCUGGCUCCUCCAUUUCUGAUCUGACUUCCCGCUGCUGCUCCUGAGAAGGCAGUAGAUGAGGACCCAAGUACUUGACUUCCUGCUACCAUGUGGGAGACCCGGAUGGAGUUCCUGGCAUCCAGCUUUCACCUGACUCAAUCCUGCCUGCUGUAUGCAUCUGGGGGAAGGGAGGAAGAGCAUACCAGCAAAUGUUCUUAUCCUUUGUAGAUUCCAGGAGGAAACAGAAGUUCCCUUCAUCCCUAGCCCAAGUAUAAAAUCAUCUUCUUCCAGCCAAGUUUCAAGUAAAUUACAAGAGGUGCUUGCCUAGGCCAAGUUCAAAUACCAGCGUUUAAGAGAUGCUGCCUGCCAAUCUGCCCACCUUCAACAAGUUUGUUCAAUGAAGAUGUAAGUGCAGCUUCCUGAAGCCUCAGGGAAGGAACAGAAAAGGCACUUCUCAGCAGGUUUAUAGAUAUCGCUUUGAUGAUCACCUCUGUACCUGCAUAUGUAACGCCGUUUCUCUACAGAGUACGCAGUAAUUCACCUAGGGCACUCGGAGGUUCCUAAGACCUCAUUAGCUGGAUGAUGUAAAUAUAUAACCACCACAUUCACACAAAUAUCCUUGACUUAUUCUAAUCAUUUAUAAGAUUGGAACAUCUAACUUGAGUGAAAUAUUGUUUCCUUUUUUUUUUUUAAAUUAAGGUUUAUGUAUUUAUUUGUUGGAAAUGUGGGGUGACAGAGAGAGCUGUAGAGAGAGUGAGAGAGAGACCUUGUAUCCACUAGUUCACUCCCCAAAUGCCUGCAGGGCCCGAGUUAGGCUGGAGCCAAGAUCCCAGAACUCCAUCUGGGACUGCCUUGGGGAUGGCAGGAAGUCCAAUACUUGGGCCAUCAUCCAUCAUCCUCUGCUUCCCAGGCACACUAUCAGGGAGCUCAACUGGAAGCAGGGUAGCCAGGACUUGAACCGGCACUCCAGUGUGGGAGAUGGGUGUCCCAAGUGGUGGCUUGAGCUGCUGUAACUCAUUGCCAGCCCCAUCACUGACCAACGUUUCUUACUUCUCCCUGAUGAUUAGCUCUUGGGGAUGUCUUCAAAACACCCAUAUUAGGUCUUAUUCCUAAAGUUUGAUUUGUUUGGAUUGGGAUAGAAUUCUGGAACCGGUGUUUUUUAAAAGCUCUCAAAUAAUUCUAAUGCACUCCCAAGGUUUAGAAUUAUUGAGUAAAACAAAUGUUUAUGAUUCUCUAUGCCAAAUUUUGUGCAUGGUUCUUGAAGUGAAAAGGAGAAAAACUUUAAUAUAUAAGAAUCAAGAGACAGAUUUAGAUAGGGAAAUUGAAGAAAGCUGUGAAUAGGUGGAGUCUCUCCUGCUAGCACUGACUGGAAGUCAGAUUAUACACCGAGAAGUUAAGCUGAGGUCCGAGAUGAAGCAUUUUCAGUGGUAAUUUUCUACUAGUUGCCAAAAGCAGCUCAAGCAGAGAAAAAGCAGCUGGAGUGUGGAAUAAGCAAGGCUCAAGCAGUCUGCCAAGGUCAUAGGCUUAGCAGAUAAGAAAUAUUUCUACAGAUGUUUGCUUUAUUAAAGGUCUUGGUGCAAAAGCUUUUUUAAGCAUUUGAAAAUGAGAUUUGAUGUAGGUGAGAACGAAAAUUACAAAACAGGGCUUAAAAACAGAAGGAAUUGAGGGACGAUAAAUUGAAGAACUUAAUGAGAAUUGUAAAAUAAAAAUAAAAAGAAGGAUGGGAUGAAAUAUUGAGAAAAAUGGGAAUAUUUAAAUCUAAGAAUGAAUGCAUGAAAUAUUUCUGGGUGAGAUUUUAUCAAAUGGUCAUGAAUAGUAGAUUGGGAGACCAAUAAUAUCUACUAGAGUUCCUGAAGUCAAGAAUUAGGAAAAUCAGCAGUGUAAAGAAAAUCCACAAGGAUUUCCCAAAGGAAAAAUCAAUCUGUAAAUCAUUGUCAAGUUCUGUUAACAAGCAAAAGUGAUCUGGAAGCCCAUGAAUGUCCAUAAUAUUUGGAAGGAGUUAGAGGUGAGAAUUUCAAAAAAUUUCCACUUGUAAAAACUUGUUCAGGAAAUGCUUUUCAAAUUCCCACCACCUAUGUCCACUCUGGGUUCUCUGUUGAGUAGAAGAGAGAUGGUAAGAUGAAAACAAUCUAGGGAAGCAAGCAAGGCACAGGGCAUACAAGGCCAGGGCAAAGAAUUUUUUUUUAUGUCUUCUGACCUAGUGAAUGAGAUGCUAAUCAAAGACACUGAAAAAGAGAGACAUCAGUGUCCAAAAAAAUGCCUUAGAAUAUCUUCCCACAGCUGUAUAUAGACAAGAUUGAGAGUGACAAGAAUAGAGGUAGAGAGAAUUGGGAAAUUAGCCCAGUCAUUCGGGAGAGAGGUAAAGCUUAAACAAAAAAUGGUAGUUACGGCCUUGGAGAAAAGUUGAGAGGUAAAUCGCCAGUAGCACAGGUAGACCUGCCUGUCUCUAUCUGAAAGAUGGAGCGCUGUGCUGGGGAUUAUUUGCAGGCUUUUGGCAUCUGCACCUCGGCACAUAGGGAAACAAUGUACUGAGAUGAAAAUGUUAGAUUGGCCAUGACUGAGUAAGAUCAACAGGUCAGUUUUAGCCACAUUAAGUGCUAGAUAAGUGGGAGAGAGAUAGAGAGACAGAGAGAGAAAGAGAGAGAGAGAGGGAGAAGAGAUGUCAAAUAGACAGCUGGUUCUAUCAGUGUUUAACUCAGAAGAAGAACCUUCUAGUGUCUCUGCAUCUUAAGAAUGCACGUCUUUUUCAAAGGUAUCUUGGAAGAAGUUGAAACAUGUUUAUAUUUUCUUUGGUAUUUAGGCAGCAAGCCUAUUUCCACAGUCGUUAUCAACAAUCGAGUUUUAAUUAGCAUGUUAAUGUUCCAAGUUGUACCUUUGAAGACAGUCACAACCAAACUGAACACAACUAUGAUUAAUACAGUACACUAAACAGUCAUGAUCUCCAGCUAACAAAAUAAGCCAGUAACCAGUCUGGCACGCCGUCCAGAUCACUCAGCCUGCCAGAUGAGAAGCUGCAUAUCUACUUUGGGUAUUUUUUGGUGAAAUUUCUUGCAGGACCAGGCCACCUGGUUUGCCACAUUGGAUAACAAUUGACUACAGUCUAAGAGGAAUUUCAUCAGUUAGAAGCAGAAGUCAUUCUGACUUCCAAAAUGAAAUUUUUUGCUAGUUAAGGAAAUAAAAAUCACUGAUAGUACAAAGAAUAUUUUUUAGUGUUUGCAUUAUUUACCACACUGUUCUGCACAUAGCAACAUGGUCACAAUUACUUGAAUCAACUCAAAGAGGAAAUUCUUAGGAAGAACACUUUUUUCUUUUUUCUUGUACAAUAUCCCACCUAAGAAAAGGCAAAACAAAAGAAAACAAGGGCAAUUAGGAAUUUUUAGAAUUCUAUGUAUGUCAUAUAGCCCUUCCUUAAUCAUCACAGUGGCACUGCCUUGUAUAUUAAAAAUACAUUUCUGUGGGGCCAGUGCUGUGGCAUAGCAGGUGAAACCACCACCUGCAGUGCCAGCAUCCCAUAUGAGCACCAAUUUGAGUACCAGCUGCUCCACUUCCAAUCCAGCUCUCUGCUAUGGCCUGGGACAGCAGCAGCAGAUGGCCCGAAUCCUUGGGCUCCUGUGCCCAUGUAGGAGACCCAGAAGAAGCUCCUGGCUCCUGGCUUCGGAUCAGCCCAGCUCGGGCCAUUGUGGCCAUCUGGGGAGGAAACACUGAACAGUGAAUGGAAGACACCCCCCCCCACCUCUGCCUCUCUAUAACUCUGCCUUUCAAAUAAAUAAAUAAAUCUUUUAAUAAAAUACAUUUCUAGUGCUUUCAGUGACUAAACAUUUCAGGUCAGAAAUACUAAACUCAUGCUAUACCAAAAUCUGAGAUUUGAAAAGAGACUCAUCAGUGUAUAUUGUAUUUGGGAAACAAAGCUCUGUACAGAUGGAAUUACUCUCUGCUUUGUAAACAUGCUGUCAUCUGAAAAACUCUGCCAUACCCUGUGGUUCUCUUGCUUCUCCAACUCUAAGUGAUAAAAUCUUAUUGCUUGUCAAGGCCAAGUUCAAGAGUUAUAUUCACCCCGGAGCCUUUCCUGUUCUUCAUAGAUAAACUGUCUCAUCAUCCUUGCUCUGGUACCAUGUGUUAAACACCUACAUUAUGAUGUUUGUGUGUAUAUUUCUCUGAGUUAUAAUGAGAAAACUAGAGAUUGCAGUAAGACUUCUUAAAUCAGAAUAGUUGCUGAUAAGGAAAUACUUAAUUCUUUAACAAAAAGUAUACUUUUACUGAAUGGUGUUGAGGAAUCUCACAGAAACAAAGCCCAGAAUAUUGAAAUGGGACUUACAAACAUUGGAGAUUUGUCAAUAAACACCCACUUUGCCCUCUCUUCAUGAUGUACAUGGUCCCCUCCUUGUCCCCUCCAUCAGUUCAGUUAUUUCAGUUAUGUGGCAGACAUGAUUUUCCUGCAAACUCAUACACUUACAUACAAAUCUCCAUUUUCCAUUAUGGGAGAAACAAUUUGUGAUGUUGACCAUUUUAGGCAUGACAUUCCAGAAAAAAAAUCCAUCAAUCCCAUUAGUAAUACUGAUUCAACUAAAAUUUUGGUGAUUUUAAAGUUUUUAUUUACUUUUUUUUGCUUUAUUUAAAAGGGGGAGAGACAGGGAAAGAGAUAGACAGAAAGACAGAAAGCCUUCCUACUGCUGGUUCAUUCCCCAGCUGCCCACCAUGACCAGGACUGGGCCAGGCCAAAGUCAGGAGCCUGGAAAUCAAUUGGGGUAGCCCCUGUGGAUGCUGGGAAUCCAGGGGUGCUUUUAGCAGGAACCUAGAAGCAGAAGUGGGGACAGAACUGGAACUCAGGCACUCCAAUAUGAGAAACAAACAUCUCACAUGGCAAUUUAGAUGUUGCAUUAAUCACCUGCUUCCCCAAUAAAAAUUUUUAGAGGACGGAUGCAAAUGGUAAGGGACUGUGAUACAAAAUUUACUCUUUGAAGGAGAAUUUAAUGGAAACUAAACCUUACAGUUUCCUUCUAUAGAAGUGAAAUGUCUGACUGGAGAAAAGAGCUGCCCACUGUUUUUUAUGUUGACAAAGCAUUUUCAAAAAGUUUAUGGAAAAUGCCAUUAUGAAAACACUAUGCACAGUUUUAAAAAAUUUUUUGCAUCUGUGGGACUGCAAAUCCCCUUUGGCUGGGUGGCAAAAAUACCAUCUUAAAUGUUAUAGUGAUGAAAUGGAUAGGAUUAAAAGUCUGUUAAUAAUACUAGAUAGAAUCAAAAAGGAGGGAAUGCUCCAACAUGGGAAGCAGUCCACACAACUGACUCAUAGAUUGACAAUCACUUUAAAUAGCACUCUGACCUCAGAAUUGGCCCAUAAGGCAUUCUGGUCUGGCUGAAAAGCCCAGGAGAGCAUUGCAGGCAUGGAAAGCCAAGACAUUGUGGCAAAAAAUAUCCUACAUGAAGGAUCUCAGUGGGUGAGACCCCAGUGGAAAGAAGUGGUCAUCAAAGAAGGAGGUAAUUUUCUCUGAAGGGAGGAGAGAACUUCCAUUUUGCUUAUGGGCUUAUCUAAAUACUGACAGAGUUUGUGGACUCAAAAGGCUAACAUAGCCUUGGCAGCUCAUGUCAAGAGCCUCACGUAAUCACUGACAUCAUAUAUAAGAGUGUUAAUUAUUAAAUUAGCAACAAGAGUCACUGUGCACUAGCUUCCCAUGCAGGACUUCUGUCCUCAAAGGGUUGUAUUAUAAUUAUGUCUAAGUGCUCACAAAAGAUGUAUCAUUCUUGGGUGUUCCUUUAAAUUUAAUUAAGUUUCUUAAAAAAAGCGAAAUUAUCUUCAAUAUGCAAUGACUUUGAAUAGCCCUUGUCUCAACUUUGAGAAACUGUUUUAAUUUUUUUUUGCGUACAAAUUAUUGAACUCUUUAAUUAGUAUAGAGUUGGUCUUCUGUGUAUCACAUUAAUUGAAAAUGGAUAUUAUUGUAGAAUGUGACUGGGAAUGAGAG
Oryctolagus cuniculus (rabbit) is the source of this 6336-nucleotide non-coding RNA. NCBI's taxonomy places the organism in Eukaryota, Metazoa, Chordata, Mammalia, Lagomorpha, Leporidae. The record is from RefSeq and is a predicted model, not a curated record.